UUCCUGGCAGCUACGCCGGUUAGUUAAUAUUGCAUGUGCAAUGUAUAUGAUGCUUGAAAAUUCAGGAAAUCUCAGUUGGGUCCUUAGAUUUUGGAGGAAAUCAGCCAGUAAAUAUUGCUUGAGUAACUAGCAAAUACAUCACAAAAGAUCAAACACAAAUAAACUCCAAGUUUCACUGCUUAAUAUUCUCAACUCUCAUGACAUUAAUAGUUUUUUUCAUAGCUUCACCUUCAUUACAACUUCUAACAAAAGACAACUAAUUUUUCAUAAUAACAAACAAACAGAGAAUAAGUAUUACAAAAACUAAUUUCUUCAAUAAUAUUUUCAUUUCUUGUCUCAUUUCGAUUAUAGUAGGAUCAUGCAUAAUGAAAUUAUUUGGCAGUUGCGUUUCAAUAGUUGCUGAUGAUUUUUCUCCAUUUAUAGCUUUGCAUCAUCCCAAGAAAUCGCAUUUUCCAUUCGGGCACGUGUAGUACAUUCGACCUUCAUUUCCAUUCUUAUUGGAGCGGGUAAUUUUACAAAUCGCAAAUUGUCCACAAUGACAUUACUUGUUUUGAAUCCUUAAAUCAAAUUUGUUGCUCUCUACGUACCAUGCUUCCAGAUGCCAUGUUUUCUUUCUACAAAAAUGACAAAAUAAACAAAAUACAAAAUACAUCACGAUUUCUUUUUAAACUUUUCUUUAAAGCCUGGAAACAAAACUUGAAAAGAACAAAGUAGAUAUGUAGAUAAAAGCAAUUCUGCUAUGUUUAAACCCCACAUGCAUCAGAUAUGUUGAGAAUUUAGGCAAAUGCCUUAUAGGUCAAUUCCAUGUUUAUCAGAAAGAGAUCAGAGAUGGAGGAAUAACCAUCUUUGUCGGCUAGUUGCAAAAUGUCAAAACGUCUCUUUGGUGUUGGUUUCUUUAGGCGGGGUUGAAAAUUCCUUGAGAACGAGGGAUAAUAUGGCUCUGCUACUUUAUUUUGGAGAGCAGAGUUUUGUUCCCUCUUAAGCUCCCUUUGAAAUUACUAUAAGCAUUUGGAAUUACUAUUGUAAUAUCAAGCACCAAAAACAUUUAUACCAUGUCCAUAAGCAAAAUCUCCAUAAUUAUCCUUAUGGAGCACUAAAAAAUUGGAAGCAUACAUAUAUCAGGACAUAAGGAACAGAAAAGGCUUGCACAGCCCUAGAGAAUUCAAAAUCCACUGUACAAAGAGAUAUCACAACAUAGCAAAUAAUGAAUCCAUUAAAGAGGAGGCACAGUCACGAACAAAGUUUUUAAGAAUAGAUAACUUGUUUUAAUUCUUGUCUUCCUUCCUUUUAAUCUAGUUCCUCUUCCCAAGUUAAAACUGAUAAUAAAUCAUUCAACCCAAGUGCACGUCCAUCACAAUGCUACCAAUUUCAAUAAAAUCACCCAAAAUUAAACUAAAUUAGAAUAACAAAAUAGAUCAAAUUUUCAGGAAAUAAACAAACAGAAACAUAUUAAAAAGGUCAAAAUCAGAAAUUUUCACCCAAAAUAAGAGUUUUUCAAAAUUUUCACCCAAAACAAGAGUUUGCACAAAAAUUAGAGUUUUGAGAAUUUAGGCAUAUCAGAGAGUAAUGGUAGGAGGAGAAGGAAUAUAUGUAAUCAUACCUUGAAGUUUGUAGAGGGGGAGAGCAACGAAGCAACGACAUGAUCGGGUAGCUUGAGAGAAAGAGAGUUGUUGGUGAAAAAUUGGUAAAGUAGAGAGAAAGUAAUUUCAAUUGAGCGGGUUUUUUUUGGUAAAGCAUAAAGAGAGUAACUCCAAUUGAGCGGGUUUUUUUGUUUCACUCUUUCAUGCUGAUGUGGUUGUGCCACAUCACAAUGUCGCCA
This 1819-nucleotide long non-coding RNA is filed under the name Panax ginseng (ginseng). RNAcentral's name for it is "long non-coding RNA (PGIN_LNC012419)". The record is from RNAcentral. Lineage: Eukaryota; Viridiplantae; Streptophyta; Magnoliopsida; Apiales; Araliaceae.